RNAcentral lists this ribosomal RNA (490 nucleotides) under uncultured bacterium. Its description in RNAcentral is "partial 16S ribosomal RNA". It matches the Rfam family "Bacterial small subunit ribosomal RNA", at positions 29 to 507 of the family's 1533-position model. The record is from RNAcentral.
GUGAACGCUGGCGGUAGGCCUAACACAUGCAAGUCGAACGGCAGCACAGUAAGAGCUUGCUCUUACGGGUGGCGAGUGGCGGACGGGUGAGGAAUACAUCGGAAUCUACUUUUUCGUGGGGGAUAACGUAGGGAAACUUACGCUAAUACCGCAUACGACCUACGGGUGAAAGCAGGGGAUCUUCGGACCUUGCGCGAUUGAAUGAGCCGAUGUCGGAUUAGCUAGUUGGCGGGGUAAAGGCCCACCAAGGCGACGAUCCGUAGCUGGUCUGAGAGGAUGAUCAGCCACACUGGAACUGAGACACGGUCCAGACUCCUACGGGAGGCAGCAGGGGGGAAUAUUGGCCAAUGGGCGAAAGCCUGACCCAGCCAUACCGCGUGGUGAAGAAGGCCUUCGGGUUGUAAAGCCCUUUUGUUGGGAAAGAAAAGCAGCAGGUUAAUACCCCGCUGUUCUGACGGUACCCAAAGAAUAAGCACCGGCUAACUUCGUG